This 1609-nucleotide ribosomal RNA is filed under the name Hypera postica (alfalfa weevil). RNAcentral's name for it is "partial 18S ribosomal RNA". It matches the Rfam family "Eukaryotic small subunit ribosomal RNA", at positions 131 to 1650 of the family's 1831-position model. Lineage: Eukaryota; Metazoa; Arthropoda; Insecta; Coleoptera; Curculionidae. The record is from RNAcentral.
ACAAUNANUUGGAUAACNGNGGUAAUUNUAGAGCUAAAACAUGCAAACAGAGNUCCGACCGGAGACGGAAGGAGUGCUUUUAUUAGAUCAAAACCAAUCGGNGGCGGGNUNAACUUGUCAUGGUACAACUNGGUGANUNUGAAUAACUUUACGCUGAUNGCACGGUCUUCGCACCGGNGACGCAUCUUUCAAAUGUCUGCCUUAUCAACUGUCGAUGGUAGGUUCUGCGCCUACCAUGGUUGUAACGGGUAACGGGGAAUCAGGGUUCGAUUCCGGAGAGGGAGCCUGAGAAACGGCUACCACAUCCAAGGAAGGCAGCAGGCGCGCAAAUUACCCACUCCCGGCACGGGGAGGUAGUGACGAAAAAUAACGAUACGGGACUCAUCCGAGGCCCCGUAAUCGGAAUGAGUACACUCUAAACCCUUUAACGAGGAUCAAUUGGAGGGCAAGUCUGGUGCCAGCAGCCGCGGUAACUCCAGCUCCAAUAGCGUAUAUUAAAGUUGUUGCGGUUAAAAAGCUCGUAGUCGAAUUUGUGUCUCGUGCCGCUGGUUCAUCGUCCGCGGUGUUAACUGGCGANUCNCGANACNUCCUGCCGGUGGGCUUAGCUCGCAAGGGCGGCCCAACUCAAUCCUGCCGCGGUGCUCUUCAUUGAGUGUCCAGGUGGGCCGGCACGUUUACUUUGAACAAAUUAGAGUGCUUAAAGCAGGCUAAAACUUCGCCUGAAUACUGUGUGCAUGGAAUAAUGGAAUAGGACCUCGGUUCUAUUUUGUUGGUUUUCGGAACCCCGAGGUAAUGAUUAAUAGGAACGGAUGGGGGCAUUCGUAUUGCGACGUUAGAGGUGAAAUUCUUGGAUCGUCGCAAGACGGACAGAAGCGAAAGCAUUUGCCAAAAACGCUUUCAUUGAUCAAGAACGAAAGUUAGAGGUUCGGAAGCGAUCAGAUACCGCCNUAGUUCUAACCAUAAACGAUGCCAGCUAGCGAUCCGUCGACGUUCCUCCGAUGACUCGACGGGCAGCUUCCGGGAAACCAAAGCUUUUGGGUUCCGGGGGAAGUAUGGUUGCAAAGCUGAAACUUAAAGGAAUUGACGGAAGGGCACCACCAGGAGUGGAGCCUGCGGCUUAAUUUGACUCAACACGGGAAACCUCACCAGGCCCGGACACCGGAAGGAUUGACAGAUUGAGAGCUCUUUCUUGAUUCGGUGGGUGGUGGUGCAUGGCCGUUCUUAGUUGGUGGAGCGAUUUGUCUGGUUAAUUCCGAUAACGAACGAGACUCUAGCCUGCUAACUAGGCGUAUUUUGACAUCCUAAAGGCCCGCCGGCUUGGGGUUCGCUCCUUGUCGCGCGCGGUUUUUACUGUCGGCGUACAAACAAUUNUUNUUAGAGGGACAGGCGGCUUCUAGCCGCNCGAGAANNAGAAANAACAGGUCUGUGAUNCCCUUAGAUAUUUUGGGCCGCACGCGCGNUACACUGNAGGGAUCAGNGAAUCCUCCCUGGCCGAGUGACCCGGAUAACCCGCUGAACCUCANUCNUGAUAGGGAUUGGGACUUACAAUUGUUCCCCAUGAACGNGGAAUUCCCAGUAAGCGCGAAUAAUAAACUNNGGGUGAUNANGU